RNAcentral lists this ribosomal RNA (429 nucleotides) under uncultured Acidobacteriota bacterium. RNAcentral describes it as "bacterial SSU rRNA". It matches the Rfam family "Bacterial small subunit ribosomal RNA", at positions 355 to 776 of the family's 1533-position model. Lineage: Bacteria; Pseudomonadati; Acidobacteriota. The record is from RNAcentral.
UGGGGAAUAUUGGACAAUGGGCGCAAGCCUGAUCCAGCAACGCCGCGUGGAGGACGAAGGUCUUCGGAUCGUAAACUCCUGUCAGAUGGGGCGAAGGUUGCGGGGCGAAUAGUCCUGCAACUUGACGGUACCAUCAGAGGAAGCCCCGGCUAACUCCGUGCCAGCAGCCGCGGUAAUACGGAGGGGGCGAGCGUUAUUCGGAAUUAUUGGGCGUAAAGGGCGCGUAGGCGGCUCGAUAAGUCAAAGGUGAAAUCCCUCGGCUCAACUGAGGAACUGCCUUUGAAACUGCCGAGCUUGAGUCCGGGAGGGGGUGGCGGAAUUCCCAGUGUAGCGGUGAAAUGCGUAGAUAUUGGGAGGAACACCAGUGGCGAAGGCGGCCACCUGGACCGGAACUGACGCUGAGGCGCGAAAGCGUGGGUAGCAAACAGG